CACGAACCGUACGAACGUUAUUCGGAAUUACUGGGCUUAAAGGGUUUGUAGGCGGCGCGGCAAGUGGGGUGUGAAAGCCCUCGGCUCAACCGAGGAAUUGCGCUCCAAACUGCCGUGCUUGAGGAACCUAGAGGUGAGCAGAACUGAUGGUGGAGCGGUGAAAUGCGUUGAUAUCAUCAGGAAUACCGGAGGCGAAGGCGGCUCACUGGGAGUUUUCUGACGCUGAGGGACGAAAGCCAGGGUAGCGAACGGG
Molecule: ribosomal RNA, 253 nt
Filed under: uncultured bacterium
Lineage: Bacteria
Description: partial 16S ribosomal RNA
Rfam family: Bacterial small subunit ribosomal RNA
Source: RNAcentral